Molecule: non-coding RNA, 100 nt
Filed under: Staphylococcus saprophyticus
Lineage: Bacteria; Bacillati; Bacillota; Bacilli; Caryophanales; Staphylococcaceae
Description: SAM-I sequence
Rfam family: SAM riboswitch aptamer (S box leader)
About the family: The SAM riboswitch is found upstream of a number of genes which code for proteins involved in methionine or cysteine biosynthesis in Gram-positive bacteria. The SAM riboswitch acts at the level of transcription termination control.
Source: RNAcentral
AUCUUAUUUUGAGAAGCUAAGGGACUUGGCCCAUAGAUGCUUCAGCAACCGGCUAUAGAGUACGGUGCUAAAACCAACGAAGAUAUUCGAAUGAUAAGUA